AUGAGGCUGCUGGGUCUCCUCCUGUGCCUUCUGACAGCCCCACAGGGGGUCUGGACCCAGGUGCAGCUGCAGGAGUCUGGUCCAGGAACAGUGAAGCCCUUGCAGACUCUCUCCAUCACCUGCACUGUCUCUGGUUACUCCAUCAGCAGUCCUCACUACUGGCACUGGGUCCGCCAGCCCCCAGGGAAGGGGCUGGAGUGGAUCGGGAGCAUCCAUUUUCAUGGAAGCACUCAGUACAACCCAUCCCUCAAGAGCCGUGCUUCCAUCUCCAGGGACACAUCCAAGAACCAAGUGUCUCUGCAGCUGAGCUCCGUGAGCACCGAGGACUCAGCUGUGUAUUACUGUGCAGGAAACACAGAUGCACAGUGA
Non-coding RNA from Pteronotus mesoamericanus, 369 nucleotides. The record is from the annotation of a RefSeq genome assembly. NCBI's taxonomy places the organism in Eukaryota, Metazoa, Chordata, Mammalia, Chiroptera, Mormoopidae.